Macrolepiota fuliginosa MF-IS2 is the source of this 97-nucleotide non-coding RNA. Lineage: Eukaryota; Fungi; Basidiomycota; Agaricomycetes; Agaricales; Agaricaceae. The record is from the annotation of a GenBank genome assembly.
GGACAUAUGGUGUAGCUGGUUAUCACGCCCGUAUCAGAUUGGGUGAAAUUAUAACAGUCUCUGCGGGAGGGGCUCGGUUCAACUCCGGGUGUGUCUC